UUAGUCUUGUCUGCAGACAAGAUGGCGGCGGACUGUCAGAUGUGAUCAUUUAUAAGUUAAUCAUUUUCUGCCUAUAUUUAUGUUAAGAAUCUCCAGCUGAGAUGGGUUUAACGCAGAGUUCGGAUGUCUCCGAAGGCGGGACGUAUGGAUAUCAUGUCCAUGGGGUGCAACCAAAUUCGCCUGCAGAAAAAUGUGGACUGCAACCCUUCUUUGACUUCAUUCUGUCGCUAGACCACAAACGACUUAAUGAGGAAAACGAUCAGCUGAAGGAGCUCCUGAAAGCCAACAUGGAGAAAGCGGUGUGCAUGGAGGUGUACAGCACCAAGAGCAUGAAGGUUCGGGAGGUGGAGGUGGUGCCCAGCAAUAUGUGGGGAGGACAAGGCUUGCUGGGUGCGAGUGUUCGUUUCUGCAGCUACCAAGGAGCCAAUGAGAAUGUCUGGCACGUGCUGGAUGUGGAAGCGAGCUCACCCGCUGCCCUUGCGGGCCUCCGUGCCCACACCGACUACAUUGUUGGAGCGGAUCAGGUGCUGCAAGAUUCCGAAGACUUCUUCUCGCUGAUUGAAACCCAUGAAGGGAAGCAACUGAAACUGAUGGUGUACAACACACUAAUGGACGCCUGCAGGGAGGUGGCAGUCACCCCGAAUGGAGCUUGGGGAGGCGAGGGCAGUUUAGGUUGCGGCAUUGGGUAUGGAUACCUGCACCGAGUCCCUGCACCUUCUGAUGUGUCCGUGGCAACUCCCCCGGCCGUCGUCCCGCCUCCUCCUGAGGAAAAACCACCCCCAGAGCUGCCUAACCAUGGAUUCACCGAGGCACCCUUGGUGGCGCCAUCAAACCAAAGCGAGGAUGUCUUAGACUUAAGGCGGAUCACCCUGCAGGACGCUUCACCGCCUCCACCUAUCCACAGUGUCACAGAUUCUGGCUUGUCUGACUCUGAAGCAGCCUUGACCAGCCCAGAUCCCGCCGAUCUGUCGGACAGGCUGGAUGCAUCCGUGUCGUCGAUUGACAUGAACGACACCUCCCUCGCGAUAAACGACGAGCGAGACAACGAGAUCUCUGGUAUCGAGGAGCUUGACGGAUCCGAGCUGCAACCUUCCAAACAGACUGAUCCCCAAGAUCCGAUCCCCUCGGCCCCCAUGGAUCUCACCUCCACGAUGAGCCAGCUAUCCGAUCCAGGUCACCUCCAUUCUGACUCUCUCUGCGAGUCCAGUUCUAGCCCGAGUCCACCUCUAGGUGCACCGUGUCCCUUUACAGACCCACCGGAGCCCUCCAGUCAAGAACCUCCCCCUUGUUCACAUGCUACUGAUGAUCUUCCAGGUGAGCCACAGGUCGAUGAUUCGCCCUGUCAGGGAUUUGAGGAUUCUCAUCCCAAAGAUGAGACUCCCGCUCAUUGCUGUGAGCAUGAGGACAAUGACGACGAACCGCACGAGUCGGAAUAAGACCGCAUCAGGCCACCACGUGGACAGGGUGAAGGAUCGAAACUGAACCAGCUUCAAGUCGAAGGCCCCGCCUCCACCCACCUGAGAUUGUAUGACUGCCAAAUAAGAUCACUCCAUUCAUAUCGUCGCUGUAUGGAACAAAUGCAUAAAGAUGCUCACAAAUUAACUUCUUCAUUAUUGUAACAAUAGAAAUAUUGUCGCAUUUUAAUAUCACAAGAUCUUGUGACACCCCUAAUAAUUUCCAGAAAUGUGUCAUUGUUAAACCAUUCCAAUUUAUUUCUCCGGAAGCCUAAAAUGUACAUAUUUCACAUAUUAUUACAACAGUGGAUUUUACAGUUUUGCGAUUUUGUGAUAAUUGGGAUACCCAUCUUUUUUUUUUUUUUUUGGGCCAACCGUAGCUCACUUGGCUUAUUCACCAUCACUUGUACAAUAAAAAUAUGUCCUGCUUGGUGACACACCAAGACAGAAACAUAUAUAUAUAUAUAAAUAUAUUACUAUUCACGUUUUAUUAUGCUUCUAUGUAAAUGAAAUAUACAUUAGGAACAUCCCUCACUUUGAUAACAUUACUAAUAAUGACCCAAGCAUAAAGCGAGAUUUAUAUAUAUAUAUAUAUUUUUUUAUAAUUUCAAAUUGCUAAGAUGAUUUAAACAACUACACACAUUCUUAAGAGUAAAACUGCAAAUUCAAGGUUGUAGUGAAUACAACAAAUGCCAUUUGUGUCAUCCAUGUCAAGUUGCGUCAUCCAUGAAUGUGCCUCGAAGGAAAAAUUGGAAAAAUAACUGUUUGGUAUUAUUAACUGUACAACAAAACAAAUGCAACCCCCCACCCCCCCCAAAAAAGUCACUUAAAUCAAAAAAAAUGUUGUACAUAUAUUUACAAGAAAACAGAACAUUCAGUUGACUUUAACAGCACAGCUAGAAAGACAAAGAACAAGUGACGUGAUGGCGUUCAGGCUUUGUCCUAAGAAGAAGUUAGGAGGGUGGGGGUGUUGAAGUGAGGAUGGGGCGAGUGGGGGGGGGUCGUCCUUGACAAGAGAUAGGAGUGUUUUUGUAGAAGAAGAGCAGGUCUGGAAUGUACGAGAACAUUCUGCACACGCACUCACACAAACGUGUACAGCAACUUGAUGAGAACCAAAAUAGCAGUCAGAUGUGUAAAAAAAAAAAAAUUAAUUAGAGUUAAUUCUUCAAACUGUUAGGGAAGGAGAAAGGGGGAAGAAAAAAAAUCCAUCUGACACGUCCUUGAAAAUAUCUUAGUGGAUUCUUGUUGACACUACAAGCAUUGACCUUGAAUGGAGGUCAGGGUUCUACAUGUCAGAAGGGGUUGGCGAUUGGCAAAUGAUUGACAAGAGUUCUUGCUUUCCCAAAAAAAAAAACAAAAAAAAAAAUAUCUGAACUUUCACGUCGACUUCUGCCUAUAGUGAAGCGUCAAGUCGCCACCGCUCUUCCAGAUAAAAUGUUUAACUGUUCGCAGGUCCAUGUUGGGAUCCAGAACCUAGUGGUGACAUGACAGGAAGAUAGGGUUCUUAGCACGAAGCGGAGGAGAGAGAGAGAGAGAGAGAGAGAGAGAGAGAGGAGACGCCGUACCUGGUCUUGACACAUGAGCUCUAUCUUCUCCUCGGCUAGCAUAGCCAUGUCCUCCUCCUUUUCCUGCUCUCCAGGCUUAUCGUUGGCGGAGGAACUGGUGGUCUGAGACUCGUUGUCCAGGUUGAUGAUCUUCUCGUACACGUGCUCCAUCACCUUUCUCACCUGGAGCAUGUCGCUAGCUGAAAGACGGUCCCUGUGGAACACAAAAAAAAAGUAAGCUCAAUGUAGAAAAAAAAAAAGAUUCUUUAUGCAAAGAACUUUUGGGGUAAAACUCACUUUUUCAGCGUUUUUGCACCAGAGGAUGAAUGAGGCUGGAGGUAGAAUGGGAUUUUGUUGAACUUGGGCAUAUUUUUCUAGCCAAAAAGAAGGGAAGGUGAUAAACGUGUAAGUAAAAUCCUGUAAAUUCACGCACAUGUACUGUAAAUCACCACAAAUUACAAUGAAAAGGCAUCAAAAUCACAUUUAAUUUGCUAUCCUGAGGCAAGAACCGAUUAUCUUUGGUACUCAAUUGUGUUGCCUGCUACAGUAAACCUCGGAUAUAUCGGACUCGGAUAUAUUGGAAAUUCGCUCACAACGGACAGAUAAAAAAGAACCGAUUUUUCUAUAAUGCAUUUCCAAUAAAAAUUCAUUGCAUAUAUUGGAUUUUUUUUUAUAACAGAUUUCGCCUAUUUCGGACAAAAUCUCCAGUCCCGUUCCAAUGCAUUUCCAUAAAAUUUCCCUCGCAUAUAUCGGAUGGCCGCAUCGUGGCGCUCCGAAGCUAGCUGACAUUCUGAGACGUUUUAAAGCAGAGGACAUUUUUAAUGCCGACGAAACUGGGUUAUUCUGGCAAAUGCUGCCAGAAAACACCCUGGGAUUUAUUGAAUGAGAUCUUAACCUCACUAUUGGAAAUAACGUAGGCCUGACGGGCGUAACAGGGCCUAGCUUAAUUAACAAUUUGUUAUGCGCAGAGUCCAAUAAAGUUAAAUUCUCAUUACCUUACGUCUCUUUUCAUUGCCCAGUCCAGGUACAUUGGAAACAGUCAAGGAAGUGCCUUUUUAUAACUGAUUAAAUCCGAUUUACGCAUAUACCGGAUAUAAAUCCGAUAUAUGCGUAAAACGGACAUUUUCCGGUAUACGCAUAUAACGGAUUUCGCUUAUAUCGGACAAAACCAGUGGGAACAAUUGAAUCCGAUAUAUCCGAGGUUUACUGUAUUUAGACAAGAAUGGCUGCGUGUUGGCUUAUUUUUUUUAGAGGCCGUACAAGCUGUACACAUACUACUCUAAAGU
Molecule: non-coding RNA, 4284 nt
Organism: Doryrhamphus excisus (bluestripe pipefish)
Lineage: Eukaryota; Metazoa; Chordata; Actinopteri; Syngnathiformes; Syngnathidae
Source: RefSeq, a predicted model, not a curated record